GUGAUCUGGCGGAGUGGUUUGUGGCGCGACACUUGUCUCACUAGAAAAAUUAAGGACUGAGAUCAAAACCUCACCACAACAACGUCAUUUUGGUGAGUAAAUUAAAAAACAAAGGAAAAAAAAAAAACUUUUCAUCUUUGUUUCAGUUAUUCAACAACGAAGCUAUUCCGAUCCUCUACCUUCAACAGAUUCGAAAUAAAACAGAAACAACCGACAUGGGUUUUUGAAAGGAUCGAAAUUACAGGCUCCGAAUCUUAUUCUGCUGCUUAAUCGCUUUAUACACCAAUUUGGGCUUGGAUUUAAAUUCCAUGCACUUCAAAUCCACAGAAACAGGAAAAGCUGUGAACUCCAAAA
Molecule: non-coding RNA, 354 nt
Organism: Camellia sinensis
Lineage: Eukaryota; Viridiplantae; Streptophyta; Magnoliopsida; Ericales; Theaceae
Source: RefSeq, a predicted model, not a curated record